This 936-nucleotide long non-coding RNA is filed under the name Salmo salar (Atlantic salmon). RNAcentral describes it as "lncRNA (ENSSSAG00000073909.2)". Lineage: Eukaryota; Metazoa; Chordata; Actinopteri; Salmoniformes; Salmonidae. The record is from RNAcentral.
CGUCUAAACCCAUGCAUCGCCUCAAAAUGACAUUUUUUAGGAUGUGGUUGUAUACGGUAAUGUCUACUACGCAUGCCCUCAACGGUGUUUAGAAGGGAGGAUAUAAAGUUGGAUCUAUUUUUCCUUUGUCAUAUUGACGCUUGGCUUAUCUACGGUGUUCAUACGUAUUGGUUGUCGUUUAUAUCAAACGGUGUUUCGUUAUCCUGAUUUCAGCGACUGCACGUUGAAUAUCUGCCUCGUCCAGUUUCCCAUAUCCAUCGUGUGAUCGUCAAGGCAGCGAACCCAUGGCGGACUCGGUGGAGACGUUCCAGACCCACCUAACCUCUGUCAUGGACAGUUUGAUCCGCGCAUCGGUGUGCGAGAUCACCAAACUGUUCCAGGACACGGUGAAUGACUAUCUGGUGGAAAUAUCGCUGAACAGGAAGGAAAUGGACGCUCUGAAACUCCGACUCCGACUGACGGAGAACAAACUGAGAAAUGAACGCAAGUACGGGAUGGGGUGGGCAGAGAAUCGCCGCAAUGCUGGUUUGAUAGUGUCUGAGGACGGUGGGCGGAAAAAGCGGAAAAUUGAAGUGCCUCGAGGAAAGCAGACGCUGGGCCUUGCCUUUGGAGGCGCGGGGGAGGAAGGAGGAGGAGCAGCCAGGGUAGUAACGGGGGGAGGGUGGAAGGAGGCACGCGAGCUGUACCUCAUUCAGUUCCCCGGGGAGGAAGGAGAACUAGAGGAGGAGGGGGGCUGUGUUUCGGGAGAGGGGGAGGAGACGGACAACAUCAAAGAGGAGUCCAGUGACAUGGUGGAGGGGGGCUACCAGCCUGCGUCUCUGCGGCUGAUCAAGGAAGCCCUGAAGAUGGACCCGCCCAACCAGAACCGCCAUACUGGAUCCAGAACCCACAGCGAAGGUACUGACACCAGCUCGGAACCAAAAACAUGAUUACAAC